AUACAUGCAGUCGAGCGAAUGGAUUAAGAGCUUGCUCUUAUGAAGUUAGCGGCGGACGGGUGAGUAACACGUGGGUAACCUGCCCAUAAGACUGGGAUAACUCCGGGAAACCGGGGCUAAUACCGGAUAACAUUUUGAACCGCAUGGUUCGAAAUUGAAAGGCGGCUUCGGCUGUCACUUAUGGAUGGACCCGCGUCGCAUUAGCUAGUUGGUGAGGUAACGGCUCACCAAGGCAACGAUGCGUAGCCGACCUGAGAGGGUGAUCGGCCACACUGGGACUGAGACACGGCCCAGACUCCUACGGGAGGCAGCAGUAGGGAAUCUUCCGCAAUGGACGAAAGUCUGACGGAGCAACGCCGCGUGAGUGAUGAAGGCUUUCGGGUCGUAAAACUCUGUUGUUAGGGAAGAACAAGUGCUAGUUGAAUAAGCUGGCACCUUGACGGUACCUAACCAGAAAGCCACGGCUAACUACGUGCCAGCAGCCGCGGUAAUACGUAGGUGGCAAGCGUUAUCCGGAAUUAUUGGGCGUAAAGCGCGCGCAGGUGGUUUCUUAAGUCUGAUGUGAAAGCCCACGGCUCAACCGUGGAGGGUCAUUGGAAACUGGGAGACUUGAGUGCAGAAGAGGAAAGUGGAAUUCCAUGUGUAGCGGUGAAAUGCGUAGAGAUAUGGAGGAACACCAGUGGCGAAAGCGACUUUCUGGUCUGUAACUGACACUGAGGCGCGAAAGCGUGGGGAGCAAACAGAUUAGAUACCCUGGUAGUCCACGCCGUAAACGAUGAGUGCUAAGUGUUAGAGGGUUUCCGCCCUUUAGUGCUGAAGUUAACGCAUUAAGCACUCCGCCUGGGGAGUACGCCGCAAGCUGAACUCAAGAAUUGACGGGGCCCGCACAGCGUGGAGCAUGUGGUUAUUCGAAGCACGCGA
Molecule: ribosomal RNA, 921 nt
Filed under: uncultured Bacillus sp.
Lineage: Bacteria; Bacillati; Bacillota; Bacilli; Caryophanales; Bacillaceae
Description: bacterial SSU rRNA
Rfam family: Bacterial small subunit ribosomal RNA
Source: RNAcentral